GAUGAACGCUGGCGGCGUGCCUAACACAUGCAAGUCGAGCGAGGGUUUGCUCAGUAUUGAGUAUUCUAAGUCUAGAAUGUUCAAUUCUGAGCAAAACCAAGCGGCGGACGGGUGAGUAACGCGUGGGUAACCUGCCCUAUACACAUGGAUAACAUACUGAAAAGUUUACUAAUACAUGAUAAUAUAUAUUUGCGGCAUCGCAGAUAUAUCAAAGUGUUAGCGGUAUAGGAUGGACCCGCGUCUGAUUAGCUAGUUGGUGAGAUAACUGCCCACCAAGGCGACGAUCAGUAGCCGACCUGAGAGGGUGAUCGGCCACAUUGGAACUGAGACACGGUCCAAACUCCUACGGGAGGCAGCAGUGGGGAAUAUUGCACAAUGGGCGAAAGCCUGAUGCAGCAACGCCGCGUGAACGAUGAAGGUCUUCGGAUCGUAAAGUUCUGUUGCAGGGGAAGA
Molecule: ribosomal RNA, 453 nt
Filed under: Peptostreptococcus stomatis
Lineage: Bacteria; Bacillati; Bacillota; Clostridia; Peptostreptococcales; Peptostreptococcaceae
Description: bacterial SSU rRNA
Rfam family: Bacterial small subunit ribosomal RNA
Source: RNAcentral